UACGGAGGGGACUAGCGUUGUUCGGAAUUACUGGGCGUAAAGCGCACGUAGGCGGCUUUGUAAGUCAGGGGUGAAAUCCCGGGGCUCAACCUCGGAACUGCCUUUGAUACUGCAAAUCUCGAGUCCGGAAGAGGUGAGUGGAAUUCCUAGUGUAGAGGUGAAAUUCGUAGAUAUUAGGAAGAACACCAGUGGCGGAGGCGGCGCACUGGUCCGGUACUGACGCUGAGGUGCGAAAGCGUGGGGAGCAAACAGG
This 253-nucleotide ribosomal RNA is filed under the name uncultured bacterium. RNAcentral describes it as "partial 16S ribosomal RNA". It matches the Rfam family "Bacterial small subunit ribosomal RNA", at positions 524 to 776 of the family's 1533-position model. The record is from RNAcentral.